GCAUUAUAGGAAGAAGAAGGGGCAGGGGGCGGCAAGGGGGGGCAGAACAAUGGAAGCCUACCGGUGCUCUUAAUGGCAUGCUCUUUCAUUUUUGAAAAUUGCUCCCCUUUUGGAAUUAUGUAUGCUCGCCGUGCCCUCCUUCAGGGGGUUGGCAUCCAACCAUCGUCUUCCACCUCACCAACACCGGCGGAGGCAGGUCCCAAAGCACGGGGGAGCGCUGCUCCACCUGUGGGAAAUGAACUCUGGCGCAACCCUGUCUUUGUUUCCCCCCCCCCUCAGCCUUGGCAGGCGGCACCACCUCCUUUACAAGCCAGGUAAAUUGUUCAUUAGGGCCGAGGUAUAAAGGGGGGAAAGGAGGUGCCGCAGAGAAGGUUGGGAUUUUUUUUUUCUCUCUUUUUCCCUGGAAGAAGUGUGAAGAACAAACAAGUCGGAGCAUUUGUUCAACGGUGUAAUCUACACAUCAAUUAUCCCGCCGAGCUAAUUAGCACCUCUGCAUACCCCAGGUACCUGAGCGCUCACACAUGCUCCUCUCUUUCAAGCCACUGAUCAAAAAAAAAAAAAAAAAAGAAGAGGACUGACAGAAACACAGGGAGGCAGAACCUAAGGGCUGGCAGCGAUGGUGGUGGUGGGGGGAAGCUUUAGAUCAAAAUUUCCUUUUACUUACAGGGUGAGGGGAGGUUCAGAGUUGUAGUCCAUCACCCAUGGAACUGCAUUGACGCACUAUGAGAAUCCAGAACACCUUACAAAUCGGAUGGGUGUUAUCGUGAACACGCUAACGUGUGGCGUUGUCGGACUGUGUUUUUACUUAGAAGGUUGAAAGUUUGCGUAGUCACAGUUAAGUUUGUUUUAGCGACACCAGUCUGUUAUUAUAAGGUUGCAAGGAAUGUUGGGAGUUACAGGUAUUGUGAAAACGCUAACGUGUAGCAGCGUCAGAUUUUUUUUUCACGUAUCACUAUCAAGUUUUCAAAUUAACGUGGUCAGAGUAAUGUUUGUGUUAGCAGUAUCAGGCUUUUUUUUAGGUGUCGCAAACAAGGUUGGGGGUUACAGUGAUUGUGACUGCACUACCGCGGUAAACGUUGUCGGACACUUUUUUUUCAAAUGUGUUGCUAGCAAGGUUGGGAGUUAGCGUAGUCAAAGUAACAUUUGUUUUAGUGGUAUCAGUGUGUUUUUCGACGCAUGCUAACAAAGUUGGGAGUUUGCGAGAAUGUGCUACCACGACUAUUGCUACUAAUGUUGCUAACGUGUUACAAACAAGUUCUAGGCUAUCUGACAAAAUUACACCUGAUAUUUUUGUGUCACUAAAUAUGCCUUAUAGUUUUGUGUGCCUUUUACUUGACAUACGUUUGAAAAUGAUGUCAUUGUAGUCCAGAAAAUAAGGUAAUUAUGAAAGCUGUCUAUGUGCAGUCAGUAGAGUUCCUUCCUGUCCGUCUUAUCUGAACCAAGAAGUCGGUGUGCAUAAACAGAUCAUGAGGUUGGGGAGGUCAAACAAAUCCGGUUUGCAUCAUGGUUCUCAAAAAAAAAAAAACUCGUCACACAUUCUCAACUCCUACAACGCAAUGAAAAGGGUAGUUUUCGCCCACCUGAGGCUGGGAAAGACAAACAGGUACGGCGCGAGAAAGAAUAGAAUAGACGAAAGGUCCUGUUCGCUUCCACCCACGUAUAAGCCACAGGCUCUAGGGCUUCAGACGGCGGCGGCGGCGCUCCCCGGUUACUGGGGAUCGAGGGUUAACUUGAGUCUCCUCGCUGCCGUCAUGCACCUGCCGUCAACCUGCCGCUGGCCGUGCGAACACGGAGGCGUUUCUCGAGUGUACAUCCUUGAGAAACCUCAUAUUCCGACGCCACUCCCGUUGCCUACGAAACCGUUUCAUUUGAACGUCCUCAUCCUGAGUGAGAUAUUGGCUCCAAGUUGGCUGCAGGAGAUCCAUCGUAGGAGGUAAAGGGAAUUAACUUCCAGGAGCUGGUUUCAGACACUCAGGUUGUUGCCGUGACGAUAAGCUACAACCUCCCCCCCCAUGUAUCUGUCCAGACCCCAACCCCUUUCAUCCUCCACUGCCGCCUCCUCCUACUCUUCGUCUGGCUUGUAGCUAAUUGGGAACUUUGUAACAGUGCUGGAGUUUCCUUUCCUCCGAGGGCUCCCUACAGGCCUCCAGGCUGCGUUUGUUGUAUUCGGUACCUGCGAACACACUCGAUUGUGUGUGUGCGUGUUGGUGUGCAUGUGGGGGUAACAGAUGUGAUUUUACACUCUCAUUAACAUGUGAAUGACACCCCGGGCCUCCGGAUUGGCUCGGACUGUCUAAGAAAAAAGAGGAUUCAGCCCUCCUCCUCACCUGGACCCCCUACCCGUGCGGUUCAUCCCGUCUGAUCUCUUUAGUCCAUCUGAGGUCCCCCCCCGGUACUAAACACAAAGACACAGAUCGACCUUUAAACAGCUGGUGACUGGAGGAGUUUUUAAGACAGCAAGAGGUCCUCUGUCUUUGUCUCUGGUUUGAGAUCUUUUCAGAAAAAAAACAAGGCUAAGCGCAGAGUCGGGGUGUCUUUUUGUCCCGGUUGAGGAGUGAAACAGUUGUUUUAGCUCUCAGGUGCUGUUUUGCCGAGAUAAACGUGGCCAUGGCCCCGUCACCGCGGACAAGAAUGCAAAACAACCUUGUCCAGAUCAAACCGGUUGUUUUGUUUUUUCCUCUGCUUUCCUGGCACAGGCGCUUGUGGAGAAAAGGUGAAAAUCGUCCAGGGUUGAGAGCCCAAGUAAUCCCGAAAUGCCUUGAGAUGCUCAAGUGGGGAUGUAACCUCUGUGAUGUAGGCGUCUUACUUAACUCUAAAGAGAUCCUAAUCACAUCCUGAAAUGUCAUCUUCUAUUUUCUCCCUCUUAGAAUAACGAAAAAAAAA
Non-coding RNA from Oryzias latipes (Japanese medaka), 2883 nucleotides. The record is from RefSeq and is a predicted model, not a curated record. Lineage: Eukaryota; Metazoa; Chordata; Actinopteri; Beloniformes; Adrianichthyidae.